Molecule: long non-coding RNA, 886 nt
Filed under: Cicer arietinum (chickpea)
Lineage: Eukaryota; Viridiplantae; Streptophyta; Magnoliopsida; Fabales; Fabaceae
Description: long non-coding RNA (CARI_LNC003382)
Source: RNAcentral
UUAGAGGCUGCCACGUUGAAAUUAUGCUUGAAAUAUGUCCUAAAUAAUCUUAGUCUAGAUAGUUUAAUAUACAGCAAACUUAAUUUACUAACAAAAAUAAGGCAAUCAUUUAAUGCUUACUCAAACUGUAAUUAAUAAUAUACAAUCAUGGAUUCGCCAAGCAUAUACUAAUAUAUUUCCCAAAGAAGCUAUAGUAUCAAGCGACAACAUUUGCAAAAUUCUUAUUAUUUUAAACAAAAUACUAUUUAUCUAGCAUAAUUUUCUCUACAAAAAGUGUCAAAAUGACACAAAUUACAGGCUAUAUUUAUUGAAUUUUAGCACAUGUAGUUAUCAUAAUCAUGCUACUUAAAGCUAAAAUACCAUGGUUCAUGUUCAUCAAUUAUCUUGAACUUGCUUUUGUUCUGCUUUUAAACGUUGUUGAACCAUAGAUAUAUAAAUUGCAGCUUUCAUGUCAACACUUUCAUCUGACGGAAAGUUAUCGCUCCAACAAUCGGUUACUACAAUCGAAACUUUUGGGUUCGGCUUUGCGUAAUCCUUGUGAACUACAACAAAUGAUGCAGGGGAAGGAGAAGAAUGAUUUGGCUUAACAUUGGUUGUUGUUGUUGUUGUAUAUUCUAAGGUUGAAGAAGGUUUUGUUGUUCUAAAAAGAGGUGCAAUUUUUCCUUUCAAGAGUCCUCUGUUUCGCUUUCGGUUUGCUUCCAUUUUUGAGAUAGCAAAUUGUGAAGAGUUAAAAGGACUAAAGUAUAGGGUGUAAAUUUGUGUAGCUUAGAAAUUAGAGGGUGUGUGGGUAUAUAUAUUGCUCUAUGAUUCCUUUUUGUUUACAAUUGGAUUAUGCAAUGGGUGGGACCCACCUAUCACAAGGCAAUGGGCCUGGAUUGGAUUCUUU